UCAGAAGACACUUUUCCUGUACGGGCGGAACCAACAACAGCGAAGUUCAAAAAACCCGACUAGUAGCUAAAAGUCAGCAUUCAUAGAGUUAAACGUCCCCGUCCGUGACUUGUACAUAACAAUCCAAGCAUCUCCUAAGCGUCUUUCUCCCCCUUCGUAAGGCCAUCGCGUCCACCAACGCACGUCUUACAUCCGCCCAGUACAGUGCCGUUGAAGCUGCGACGAGUAAUAUGAACGCUUAAGUAAUUCAUGAACAUCCGCUGCGUUUGCCUAGCAGUGUCGUAAAGGAGGUCGCGUCGGCAUCAGGCCAUCAACGUUGCGCCCAGGACAACACUUGCUGCAGCCAAGAAACCCUAAGUAUAUCUCUAUGCGUUCAUCCCCUUAGUCUUAGGGUUGCCCCUAAGACGACGUAGAUACCACCUCCUGACACCGCCGUACCGGAAAGCACUUUUCCGGUACGGGCAGAGCCAGCAGCAUUCCAGGUUCAGAAUUGAACCCAAAGGCAGAAAUCACCAUUCUGAGAGUUGAACGUCGCCAUCCAUGAUUUAGACAUACCAUUCCAUGGCCUGUGCAUGCGCGUCCGUGUCCUUCACUACGUUGCCAUCACGUCCACCAACGCACACUUGACAUCCGUCCUGUCCAGAGCCGUCGUCGCGAGCUUCGACAACAUGAAUGUAAGCAACAUUCGGAACAUCCGUCCUGUUUGCAUGGGAUUGUCGUCCUCCCGCCGGCGGAAAAGCCACUCAACGUAUUGCUUUAGAAUUCCUACCCAAGCCUAUAACACAAACAUAAUAACAUUGUCCUAGCAUUCCAUAGCCCUACUUGACUUGCCUACAAACGAGUUGCCCCGGUCGGACCCUCCAAGUCUAGCCCAGUAGCUUACUGUGGGCUGACGUUAGUGAACAUGGAAUGCAAGCUGUGUGUGUGCUCAUCCCCUUUGAAAAAGGUUUGACUACGACUUGACACACAGACUCCCUCCUGCAACAAAUGCCCAUUUUCCGUACGAGCGUGACGAGCAACAUAAGAGAUCCAGAACCGACCACACCGGCAGAAUUCAUCGUUCNNNNNNNNNNNNNNNNNNNNNNNNNNNNNNNNNNNNNNNNNNNNNNNNNNCAUGGACACCAGCUGCAUUAGCCUGGCUUGUCGUCCUUGCGGCAGCCUGGGCAAAUGGCCCAACGCGAUUUAAGUAUGCUGCUGCUUGCGGCCAAGAAACAAGCAUUUCCAAAACUGUCAUUUAAUCCCCUGGUUUCGUUGUAUUUGGUUUGCAUACAAGUCGACGCGGAUACUACCUGCUGUGACCGCCGUAUCAGAAGACACUUUUCCUGUACGGGCGGAACCAACAACAGCGAAGUUCAAAAAACCCGACUAGUAGCUAAAAGUCAGCAUUCAUAGAGUUAAACGUCCCCGUCCGUGACUUGUACAUAACAAUCCAAGCAUCUCCUAAGCGUCUUUCUCCCCCUUCGUAAGGCCAUCGCGUCCACCAACGCACGUCUUACAUCCGCCCAGUACAGUGCCGUUGAAGCUGCGACGAGUAAUAUGAACGCUUAAGUAAUUCAUGAACAUCCGCUGCGUUUGCCUAGCAGUGUCGUAAAGGAGGUCGCGUCGGCAUCAGGCCAUCAACGUUGCGCCCAGGACAACACUUGCUGCAGCCAAGAAACCCUAAGUAUAUCUCUAUGCGUUCAUCCCCUUAGUCUUAGGGUUGCCCCUAAGACGACGUAGAUACCACCUCCUGACACCGCCGUACCGGAAAGCACUUUUCCGGUACGGGCAGAGCCAGCAGCAUUCCAGGUUCAGAAUUGAACCCAAAGGCAGAAAUCACCAUUCUGAGAGUUGAACGUCGCCAUCCAUGAUUUAGACAUACCAUUCCAUGGCCUGUGCAUGCGCGUCCGUGUCCUUCACUACGUUGCCAUCACGUCCACCAACGCACACUUGACAUCCGUCCUGUCCAGAGCCGUCGUCGCGAGCUUCGACAACAUGAAUGUAAGCAACAUUCGGAACAUCCGUCCUGUUUGCAUGGGAUUGUCGUCCUCCCGCCGGCGGAAAAGCCACUCAACGUAUUGCUUUAGAAUUCCUACCCAAGCCUAUAACACAAACAUAAUAACAUUGUCCUAGCAUUCCAUAGCCCUACUUGACUUGCCUACAAACGAGUUGCCCCGGUCGGACCCUCCAAGUCUAGCCCAGUAGCUUACUGUGGGCUGACGUUAGUGAACAUGGAAUGCAAGCUGUGUGUGUGCUCAUCCCCUUUGAAAAAGGUUUGACUACGACUUGACACACAGACUCCCUCCUGCAACAAAUGCCCAUUUUCCGUACGAGCGUGACGAGCAACAUAAGAGAUCC
RNAcentral lists this long non-coding RNA (2337 nucleotides) under Volvox carteri. Its description in RNAcentral is "long non-coding RNA (VCAR_LNC001621)". Lineage: Eukaryota; Viridiplantae; Chlorophyta; Chlorophyceae; Chlamydomonadales; Volvocaceae. The record is from RNAcentral.